UUCCUGCAAACUGGGCGAGGGUCAGUUCGGAGAGGUAUGGAAAGGCUACACGGAGGUCGAGGAAAAAGUGAAAACUGUGGCCGUUAAAAUUUUGAAAGGAAAUACAAUGUCCAAAGAAAAAGAAGAUUUCAAAACAGAAAUGGAGACACUGAAAAAUGUACCGGCGCACAAAAAUAUUGUUCCUUUAAUAGCUACAUCCUCCAAAGAAGACCCUCUGUUUAUCGUGAUGGAGUACCAGACAAUGGGCAGCCUGCAGCGUGUUUUACGGAAUGGCCGGGGAAACACCUACUACA
Lingula anatina is the source of this 293-nucleotide long non-coding RNA. The record is from RefSeq and is a predicted model, not a curated record. NCBI's taxonomy places the organism in Eukaryota, Metazoa, Brachiopoda, Lingulata, Lingulida, Lingulidae.